This 573-nucleotide long non-coding RNA is filed under the name Numida meleagris (helmeted guineafowl). Its description in RNAcentral is "lncRNA (ENSNMEG00000001536.1)". The record is from RNAcentral. Lineage: Eukaryota; Metazoa; Chordata; Aves; Galliformes; Numididae.
UAUGGGGUCUCUAUGGGUCUCUGUGGGUCGGGGUGGGGUUCUAUGGGGUCUCUGUGGGUCGCUAUGGGGUCUCUAUGGGUCUUUAUGGGUCUCUGUGGGGUUGCUGUGGGGUGUUAUGGGGUCUUUAUGGGCUUUUAUGGGGUCUCUAUGGGGCUCUGUGGGUCGCUAUGGGGUCUCUAUGGGGUCUCUGUGGGUCUUUAUGGGUCUCUAUGGGUCCCUGUGGGUCUCUAUGGGUCUCUGUGGGUCUCUAUGGGUCGCUGUGGGUCACUAUGGGUCAGUGUAGGUCGCUAUGGGUCACGGUGUGGGUCUCUAUGGGUCGCUGUGGGUUGCUAUGGGUCAGUGUGGGUCACUAUGGGUCGCUGUGUGGGUCGCUAUGGGUCGCUGUGGGUUGCUAUGGGUCUCUAUGGGUCUCUAUGGCUCUCUAUGGUCUCUGUGGGUCUCUGUGGGUUUCUGUGGGUCGCUAUGGGUCCCGCUAUGGGUCGCUGUGGGGCUGCCCCAUAGUACGCGUCGGUGGAGGAGGCGGCGGCGACGCGGGAGGCGCUGCACGGCGUCAGGUGGCCGCAGUCCAACCCC